GAAGAGGCUUCCAGGUUGGUGUGACAACAGAUUCAUAGCCAGGCCCUAGGUCUCUAAGAAGAGAAGGGGAAAAAAAAAAAAACUUUGUUGUGCAUUCGAAGCUCUUUCUCCGGAUAAGAUGCUCACCAUUGGGAAUUUUGAGCAAAGAAAUUCUGUUGAGGCUUUCCAGACCUAGGGUUUAUAUGCCAUGUCCAAAGAAUAGCCCAAGCGUCUCUUCGGACAAGGCCCCCGUGAGCCACCCUUGAGGGAGUCCAUCUGAUCUCCGCCACGCUUUGUAGCUUGGACGUAUGGUCUGUUUGCUGGUGGAGCUUCCACCUUCUUGGAGUUCCAGGAACUUCUUUGGCAUAGAAAAUGAUCGAUCAAUGGCACCAUCAUACGUACCUCCAGAUUUUCCAAUAAUUUGGAUUUUCCAAUAGUGAUAUUUUAGGUCGGCUGCAUAAGACAGAAUUUCCAACUGCAAAUGGAAUAAUUGUAGAGGAAUUGGAGAGUUGGGAAGAAGGAAUGCAGGGUGAAGAUCAAAGAUUACAGCAGGAUCGAAGCACUCAAAGUGCAAGCUUCUGAUACGAUGAAGAAAUUGAGAGUAUGGCUAUGAAUCACCUUAUCGAAAGGUGGUCAUGCUGUUAUGUAUCUUAUUACUGUAUAAAUUAAGGAUUGAGUUUCCUUAUAAGC
This 669-nucleotide long non-coding RNA is filed under the name Elaeis guineensis (African oil palm). RNAcentral describes it as "long non-coding RNA (EGUI_LNC024010)". Lineage: Eukaryota; Viridiplantae; Streptophyta; Magnoliopsida; Arecales; Arecaceae. The record is from RNAcentral.